Molecule: long non-coding RNA, 1027 nt
Filed under: Bos mutus (wild yak)
Lineage: Eukaryota; Metazoa; Chordata; Mammalia; Artiodactyla; Bovidae
Description: lncRNA (ENSBMUG00000025355.1)
Source: RNAcentral
CAAGUUUGCCCAGCAAAUGAGGUGCGAGCUAAAGGCACACUGGGAACUAAAUGAACUGGAGGUCUGACUGCGAGGGGAGGGGGCUCAAGAUGUAAGCAGCGAAGAGAUCUUGGGCUCUCGCAAUGCGACAUUCAGCUGCGUCACACCUCAGCCGCAGCUGCAGCUCAGAGAGGCCUUCCUUGCCUCCACCACUUUCGCCCAGGCCUCCGCUGCCGCUGCCACCUCUGGUGUAAUCACCUCGGCCCAGCCGCGCCCCGCCCAGCGCUCCUGCUGCCUUCACCGCUGCCACCUCCUCAGCCCCGGCUUCCGCCGCCACCACCCAAGCAUCCAUUUGAAUGGGAGCAACUGUUUGCUGAUGUGUGAAGUGGUAGGAGGAAUGAGCCUGUGCAUCACAGAAACUUCAAUUCAGGUUUGUCUCAUUCUCUUUCUGAAUUGCCAUAUUUAUUUUCUGCUGGAGGCCAUUUCUAUCUUCAGUUUAUAGUAUUCUCUACUUUCUCAGCCCUCACUAGUGCCAGCUUUGCAUUGAAUAGGUCACCAUGACUCAGUGAAAUGCCUGCUUUAGAGGUAUUCUGUGGCAAUCUUCUCAUUAAUUUCUGCUCAACGGACUGGCCAGCAUCUUUAGUUACCUGUUGCUUAUCUGUCUCCUCAUACUGAAGCAGUCUCUAGCUGCCUUCUGAAAAUGAAGAUGAUGUGUUGGUAUAAUUUCUCCUUAACUCCAGCUCCCUUUUUGUUCUAUAUUAUGAAGCUAUUUUCCUAAUGGGUCAUUUCUUGCUGCUUUCAAUGUCUGUCACAGGCCUAAAUCAGAUAUUCACAGCUUGAACAGUUAAGGGAAAAGCAAGCGUUAGCUCAGAGUCCUACAAUAUUUUUGUUUAAAUUUCAUUGUAAGUGGAAGAUAUUCUUUCCAGUGUGUGGCUAAGGAUUGUGAUGAUUUCUUUGAUUCAAAGAUCAUUUCUGCCUUAAUUUUUAUUUGGAUAAUUCUGGUGCACAGAUUGCUGUGUUGAAAACAACAGAGCAAUGUAGAAGGGAA